UAUCUCAGGUCUUAGGACAACCACAAAAUCCAUUAGGUUGUCUGUUGACAGUCUGUUGAUGUCUUGUUCAGUAAAAAUAAAUUUCGUCAACAGUUUUGUUAUUGUUACAGGAUAUUGUUUCUCUUUUAGAGAAGUUCAGUGGAACAAAGGCAAUAUUUUGGGAUGAACAACUCACUGGCCCCAUUGGUUUGGUGGCAGAAUACAGUUUUCUUAAGGAACUAGAUGUUGUAAAAAUGUUCCAGUUAAAACCUGGGCGCUUGCCUUCCAUAUCUGUUAAAAAUAUACUGUUCAUCACAAGACCUGAAGUUGAGCUGAUGGAUUGUAUUGCCGAUAACUUGCACAGCGAAGAAAGCCAAGGACAUUCUGCUAGUAAGGAAUAUCAGUUAAUUUUUGUCUCCCGACGAAGUGCAGUAUGUGAACAGCGGCUCAAGGACAAAGGAGUGUAUGGAACUCUUACUUCUAUUGAUGAACUGCCUGUUGAUUUUUUCCCACUAGAUAGUGAUGUCAUUUCAAUGGAACUCGAUAAUGUUUUCAAGGAUUUAUAUGUUGACAAUGAAAUCAGCUCCUUACACCAAAUUGCUCAUGGGUUAAUGUCCCUCCAAAGUUUAUAAGGCAUUUUCCCCAACGUU
RNAcentral lists this long non-coding RNA (629 nucleotides) under Daphnia pulicaria. Its description in RNAcentral is "uncharacterized LOC124314901, transcript variant X2". Lineage: Eukaryota; Metazoa; Arthropoda; Branchiopoda; Diplostraca; Daphniidae. The record is from RNAcentral.